RNAcentral lists this ribosomal RNA (460 nucleotides) under uncultured bacterium. RNAcentral's name for it is "partial 16S ribosomal RNA". It matches the Rfam family "Bacterial small subunit ribosomal RNA", at positions 338 to 795 of the family's 1533-position model. The record is from RNAcentral.
CCUACGGGUGGCAGCAGUGAGGAAUAUUGGUCAAUGGACGAGAGUCUGAACCAGCCAAGUAGCGUGAAGGAUGACUGCCCUAUGGGUUGUAAACUUCUUUUAUAUGGGAAUAAAACGUUCCACGUGUGGGAUUUUGUAUGUACCAUAUGAAUAAGGAUCGGCUAACUCCGUGCCAGCAGCCGCGGUAAUACGGAGGAUCCGAGCGUUAUCCGGAUUUAUUGGGUUUAAAGGGAGCGUAGGUGGAUUGUUAAGUCAGUUGUGAAAGUUUGCGGCUCAACCGUAAAAUUGCAGUUGAAACUGGCAGUCUUGAGUUCAGUAGAGGUGUGCGGAAUUCGUGGUGUAGCGGUGAAAUGCUUAGAUAUCACGAAGAACUCCGAUUGCGAAGGCAGUUCACUGGACUGCAACUGACACUGAGGCUCGAAAGUGUGGGUAUCAAACAGGAUUAGAUACCCCAGUAGUC